RNAcentral lists this long non-coding RNA (364 nucleotides) under Ananas comosus (pineapple). RNAcentral's name for it is "long non-coding RNA (ACOM_LNC014348)". Lineage: Eukaryota; Viridiplantae; Streptophyta; Magnoliopsida; Poales; Bromeliaceae. The record is from RNAcentral.
UUUUUUUUUUGAGAAAUAGAUAACACGCUACCUGCUUCGUUUAUUUCAUUUAGAAAUAAACUUAGCUGGAAAUAUGAAUCAACUAGAAUUCGAACUUAGAACCUCGGGUACCAACUACCAGAUCUUUUGCCACUUGCUCUAAGGACAAUCGGUCUCACCACCAUUUUUUUAUAUUAAUUAAUUAAUGAAAAAGCUACUUUGACUAUUUAUUUUUGUUAAUCUUUUUUUUUCGUCAUUAUCUCAGAUUGAGGUCUAUUAUCUCACUCUGUAACUUAAUUCAUAUUUUUAAUAAAUAAAGCGAAUAAUAUGUUUUUUUUUUCUUACAAAAUAAGUUAUUGACGAGAUGGCCGACUGCUAAUACAUA